UACGUAGGGUGCAAGCGUUAAUCGGAAUUACUGGGCGUAAAGCGUGCGCAGGCGGUUAUGUAAGACAGGUGUGAAAGCCCCGGGCUCAACCUGGGAAUGGCGAUGGAUACUGGCUCGCUAGAGUGCGGUAGAGGAGAGUGGAAUUCCCGGUGUAGCAGUGAAAUGCGUAGAGAUCGGGAGGAACAUCAGUUGCGAAGGCGGCUCUCUGGACCAGCACUGACACUGAGGCACGAAAGCGUGGGGAGCAAACAGG
This 253-nucleotide ribosomal RNA is filed under the name uncultured bacterium. RNAcentral describes it as "partial 16S ribosomal RNA". It matches the Rfam family "Bacterial small subunit ribosomal RNA", at positions 524 to 776 of the family's 1533-position model. The record is from RNAcentral.